GUCUACGGCCAAGCCACCCUGAACAAGCCCGAUCCUGUCUGAUCUUGGAAGCUAAGCAGGGUCGGGCCUGGUUAGUACUUAAACGGGAGACCACCUAGGAAGACCAGGUGCUGUAUGCA
This 119-nucleotide ribosomal RNA is filed under the name Pteropus alecto (black flying fox). Lineage: Eukaryota; Metazoa; Chordata; Mammalia; Chiroptera; Pteropodidae. The record is from RNAcentral.